This 465-nucleotide ribosomal RNA is filed under the name Vreelandella stevensii. RNAcentral describes it as "partial 16S ribosomal RNA". It matches the Rfam family "Bacterial small subunit ribosomal RNA", at positions 338 to 795 of the family's 1533-position model. Lineage: Bacteria; Pseudomonadati; Pseudomonadota; Gammaproteobacteria; Oceanospirillales; Halomonadaceae. The record is from RNAcentral.
CCUACGGGAGGCAGCAGUGGGGAAUAUUGGACAAUGGGGGCAACCCUGAUCCAGCCAUGCCGCGUGUGUGAAGAAGGCCCUCGGGCUGUAAAGCACUUUCAGUGAGGAAGAACGCCUGGUGGUUAAUACCCAUCAGGAAAGACAUCACUCACAGAAGAAGCACCGGCUAACUCCGUGCCAGCAGCCGCGGUAAUACGGAGGGUGCGAGCGUUAAUCGGAAUUACUGGGCGUAAAGCGCGCGUAGGUGGCUUGAUAAGCCGGUUGUGAAAGCCCCGGGCUCAACCUGGGAACGGCAUCCGGAACUGUCAAGCUAGAGUGCAGGAGAGGAAGGUAGAAUUCCCGGUGUAGCGGUGAAAUGCGUAGAGAUCGGGAGGAAUACCAGUGGCGAAGGCGGCCUUCUGGACUGACACUGACACUGAGGUGCGAAAGCGUGGGUAGCAAACAGGAUUAGAUACCCUUGUAGUC